RNAcentral lists this long non-coding RNA (1545 nucleotides) under Anas platyrhynchos platyrhynchos (common mallard). Its description in RNAcentral is "lncRNA (ENSAPLG00000019581.1)". Lineage: Eukaryota; Metazoa; Chordata; Aves; Anseriformes; Anatidae. The record is from RNAcentral.
UCCACCACCUCAGCUGAGACCUCCACGUCCUCCAGUACACCUCCAGGCACCUCCACUGGCCUCACAUCCACAGCUGUGUCCUCCACAGCGGCCUCCACCACCUCCCCAGAGACCUCCACGGCCUCCUCAACCACACCAGUGACCACCACAUCAUCCUCCACGACCUCUGGUGAGACCUCCACCAUCUCCAGCACAACUCCAGCAACAUCCACAGGCCUCACCUCCACUCUUUUGACUUCCACUGUGGCCUCCACCACCUCCUCAGAGACCUCCACGGCCUCCUUGUCCACUCCAGGGACCUCCUCAGGCCUCACUUCCACUCCUUUGACCUCCACAGCGGCCUCGACCACGUCUUCUGAGACCUCCACUGCCCCCAGUACAACUCCAGGCACCUCUACUGGCCUCACCUCCACUUUGGUGACCUCCACAGCUGCCUCCACCACCUCUGGUGAGACCUCCACUGUCUCCAGCACAACUCCAGCAACAUCCACCGGCCUCACCUCCACGCCUGUGACCUCCACCAUGGCCUCCACAACCUCUUCUGAGACCUCCUCGGUGUCCUCAACCACUGCAGGGACCUCCUCAGGCCUCACCUCCACACCAUUGACCUCCACAGUGGCCUCUACCACUUCUCAAGAGACCUCCACUGCAUCCUCAACCACUCCAGGGACCUCCACAGGAAUCACUACAAUCCCCGUGACCUCCACAGCAGCCUCCACUGCCUCAGCUGAGACCUCCACGGCCUCCAGUACAACUCCAGGCACUUCCACAGGCCUCACCUCCACUCCUUUGACCUCCACAGUGGCCUCCACCACCUCCUCAGAGACUUCCACGAUGUCCUCGUCCACUCCAGGGACCUCCACAGGCCUCACUUCCACUCCUUUAACCUCCACAUCGGCCUCCACCACCUCUUCUGAGACCUCCACAGCCUCCAGUACAAGUCCAGCAACAUCCACAGGCCUGACCUCCACUCCAGGGACGUCUACCACAGCUUCUACCACCUCCUCAGAGACCUCCACAGCAUCCACAACAUCUGCAGAAACCUCCACAGGACUCACCUCCACACCACUGACCUCCACUGUGGCCUCCACCACCUCUUCCGCGACCUCCACAGCGUCCUCAACCACUCCUGGGACCUCCACAGGACUCACUACAACCCCCGUGACCUCCACAUCUGCUUCUACCAUCUCCCAAGAGACCUCCACGGCCUCCUCAACUACACCAUUGACCUCCACAGGCCUCACCUCCACAGCAGUGACCUCGACAGUGGCCUCCACCACCUCCUCCGAGACCUCCACGGUCUCCUCAACCACACCAGUGACCACCACAUCAUCCUCCACAACCUCUGGUGAGACCUCCACCAUCUCCAGCACAACUCCAGGAACCUCCUCAGGCCUCACCUCCACACCAGUGACCUCCACAGUGGCCUCCACCACCUCUUCUGAGACCUCCACCAUCUCCAGCACAACUCCAGGCACCUCCACAGGCCUGACCUCCACACCGGUGACCUCCACAGCAGCCUCCACCACCUCUUCUGAGACCUCC